GUCAUUAAUAACUUGGUACGUAGGUACCGAGAAAGAGAAUAUUAAUUUUACAUUAUAGGUUUUUACUUUGGUUUAACUUUUGGUUAUUUUUGUCGCGUCGUCGCCGUCCGACAACGACAAUUACGACGAAAACGAGUCCGACGACGAUAACGACGUAACAUAAUAAUAUAUGAUUAUAUUAGUAGGUACGCCGACUGUUAUUGACAUUAUAGCACGGUAUAGAACUAUAGAAGAUAACCGUGAUUAUAGUAGGCAUUCUGCUUAAUUCGCUACAUGAACACGGAAACACUUAACAAGACAGUAAGGACGUAAGAUCACAAUUAUGACUUCUAAAAAGAAACCCAAUAUUCAGUCUUUUUUCAAACCUCAAAAAGUUGACAAUAUACAAAAUAACACAGAUUAUCAGUAGUUUCAGCAUCAGACACUGAUAUCCCUACGUCGUCCACGUCCCAUAUAAAUAGACACGAUAUUUUCAAUUACGUCAAAAGAGUAUUGACUCAAAAUGAAAUACAUGAUAUACUAAAUGCAAUUUGGAUUCCCGAUGUAAAUUAUAAUUUUCCUGUGAAAAUAUUUUGGUCCCAUCGAAGAUAUUAUAAUUCUUUCAAAUAAAUAUAUUGAAGAUUUGCAGAAUGAAGGAUCUCAAAAUCAAAUUAUUGAAGCAGAAUACAAAUUAUGGCAGAGAAAACUCAUGCAAACAACAGAGAAACCAUAUAAUGCUCUAGAGGCUAUGGCUAUGUGUAACCAGUCAAUUUAUCCAAACAUAUUUAAACUUCUUCAAAUCUUAGUCACGCUACCUGUUUCCUCUGCCACAAAUGAAAGAACAUUUUCAAAUUUAAAAAGAAUAAAAACGUAUCUAAGGAAUUCCAUGUCAGAGGGAAGAUUGAACGGUUUAGCGAUGUUAUCAAUAAAUAAAAACUACUUAAUAGAACCGGAAGAAGUUAUUGAAGAACUAGCCAGACAAAAAAGACGUUUACCUUUUUUAUUAUAAAAAACUAUUAAUUUGUAUUAAUAAAUCAUAAUAGUAGUGAAAUAUACAUAAUAUAAU
This is an RNA transcript of Metopolophium dirhodum (rose-grain aphid), 1045 nucleotides long. It is a transcript of the gene named 52 kDa repressor of the inhibitor of the protein kinase-like, with no coding region annotated. The record is from RefSeq and is a predicted model, not a curated record. The transcript is spliced from 3 exons. NCBI's taxonomy places the organism in Eukaryota, Metazoa, Arthropoda, Insecta, Hemiptera, Aphididae.